Molecule: ribosomal RNA, 554 nt
Filed under: uncultured bacterium
Lineage: Bacteria
Description: partial 16S ribosomal RNA
Rfam family: Bacterial small subunit ribosomal RNA
Source: RNAcentral
UAGGGAAUCUUCCACAAUGGACGCAAGUCUGAUGGAGCAACGCUGCGUGAGUGAAGAAGGUUUUCGGACCGUAAAGCUCUGUUGUUGGUGAAGAAGGAUAGAGGUAGUAACUGGCCUUUAUUUGACGGUAAUCAACCAGAAAGUCACGGCUAACUACGUGCCAGCAGCCGCGGUAAUACGUAGGUGGCAAGCGUUGUCCGGAUUUAUUGGGCGUAAAGCGAGCGCAGGCGGAAGAAUAAGUCUGAUGUGAAAGCCCUCGGCUUAACCGAGGAAUUGCAUCGGAAACUGUUUUCUUGAGUGCAGAAGAGGAGAGUAGAACUCCAUGUGUAGCGGUGGAAUGCGUAGAUAUAUGGAAGAAUACCAGUGGCGAAGGCGGCUCUCUGGUCUGCAACUGACGCUGAGGCUCGAAAGCAUGGGUAGCGAACAGGAUUAGAUACCCUGGUAGUCCAUGCCGUAAACGAUGAGUGCUAAGUGUUGGGAGGCUUCCGCCUCUCAGUGCUGCAGCUAACGCAUUAAGCACUCCGCCUGGGGGAGUACGACCGCAAGGUUGAAAC